RNAcentral lists this long non-coding RNA (1271 nucleotides) under Homo sapiens (human). RNAcentral describes it as "HSALNT0407439". The record is from RNAcentral. Lineage: Eukaryota; Metazoa; Chordata; Mammalia; Primates; Hominidae.
GUUCUGGGCUUGCCUGGGAGAAGGAGCUGUUGCAGUCUUGCACGAUCAAAAUAGGGCCUUUAGGUUUGAAGGAUGAGGUUGAGCCCAUAUUUUGACUCCAAAUGUCGGGGGAGGGGAGAAGAAGUCGACAGAUCCAAACAAGGAACAUUUGAAUGAAAUGCAGAUAACUCUUUAGAAAACUUUUGUAGGAAAAGCGCCUCGUGUGAUCUGGAACAAAGACGUUUUAUAAUCAGAUUUAUCAAGCUGCGAAGAGGGAGUUUUAGUGAACGGAAGCAGCAGCAUUCUGUCACCAGGAAAUACUCCUUUAUCCAGAAUUGGUAAGUGAAAAGUGGCAUUGCUCCCUAAUAGAUAUCAUAUGCGUGUGUGGGAAUUGAAAAAUUGUUCACAGACCCCUAACAACUGUGUUGAACAGAGAACACAUAAACAGUGAGGAGUUCUAAAAAAGAGCAGCACGAGAAUACCGCAUAAAGACUGAGAAGAAGCCAGACUUAAACUUCCGUGAGUGCAAGGAUUUUGUUCAGUGUUGCAUUCCCAGUGCCUGGAAUAAAGCACGCAGAAGUAUUUCAGUAAGGUACUGAAAGGUACUUAUUGAAGGUACUCAGUAAGUAUUUCUGGGGUGGAUAAAUGAAUAGCAAAGAGAACACCAAUCCUGUGACUUAUUUUGUUACCUUCAUUGUAUCAUGGGAGGAAAGCUUGGAACUGACAUGCUAGUGAGCACCUGCUUUGAAUAUUUAUUAUAAUAUGCAUUUUCUGUAAUUUUCUUUGGUGUUUGAGAUAUUUGGUAAAAUAACUGUAUUAUCCUCAGUUCGUAACACGAAAGAAUUUUUUAACUGCAAUUUACUUUACAUAUGUGCAUCAUUGCUAGAUUACCCAAGUUAAAGUGACAGGAAGCAACAAAAAUGCUCCAAGCCACAAUAAAAUGGUAGAUUGGUUUUUUGUUUGCUUGUUUGUUUUUCUCUUGUGUAUAUUUCCAUUUUACUGCAAAACAUACCAAAUAAUUGAUUGUAGAUUUUGUCACAAGGAAUCAUGUAUGCUGUAGAAGUAUAGAGAUUUUCCACUUUUUUUGUUUGCUGCUGGAUCUCCAGCACCUAAGAAAAUAUGUGGCACUUUAUUUAAUGUCACUCAGUCAGUAUCUGUUGGAUAAGUAAAUAAAUCCAGAGGUUGUUUAAAAUUACGUACAUGGGAAUAUUGUCAAAAUGUCAAUUCAUGAUCCAAAGAAAAUGUGCAAUUGAAAUCUGAUAUCUUCUUUUUUCUUCCACAGAGCCCCUCCC